GCCUGGAUAGAUAAGAGGUAAAUUAUGUGACUCACCAUCACAUACUCUAGGUUCGAGUCCCAUUUGGGUC
This 70-nucleotide transfer RNA is filed under the name Fasciola hepatica (liver fluke). It matches the Rfam family "tRNA". Rfam says of the family: Transfer RNA (tRNA) molecules are approximately 80 nucleotides in length. Their secondary structure includes four short double-helical elements and three loops (D, anti-codon, and T loops). The record is from Rfam by way of RNAcentral. Lineage: Eukaryota; Metazoa; Platyhelminthes; Trematoda; Plagiorchiida; Fasciolidae.